RNAcentral lists this unclassified non-coding RNA (250 nucleotides) under plant metagenome. Its description in RNAcentral is "partial contains small subunit ribosomal RNA, internal transcribed spacer 1, and 5.8S ribosomal RNA". The record is from RNAcentral.
GUAGGUGAACCUGCGGAAGGAUCAUUAAUGAGUUUGGGGGCCUACCCCCCAGCGGCGAGUGUCGUUCGACCCCCCCCCGGGCUCGGUCGGCGUUCGUCGUGUUUCUCAACCCCAUGUUUAUCAUACCUUUGUUGCUUUGGCGGGCCUUGAGUAGGCUAUACGGCUCAUGCCGGCCCCAGGCUUUAUUGCCUGGGGGCGGCUCGCGCCCGCCAGAGGUUUAUUUAAACCCUAUUCAUCAGUGAUGUCUGAG